GAUGAACGCUGGCGGCGUGCCUAAUACAUGCAAGUCGAGCGAACGGACGAGAAGCUUGCUUCUCUGAUGUUAGCGGCGGACGGGUGAGUAACACGUGGAUAACCUACCUAUAAGACUGGGAUAACUUCUGGAAACCGGAGCUAAUACCUGAUAAUAUUUUGAACCGCAUGGUUCAAAAGUGAAAGACGGUCUUGCUUUCACUUAUAGAUGGAUCCGCGCUGCAUUAGCUAGUUGGUAAGGUAACGGCUUACCAAGGCAACGAUGCAUAGCCGACCUGAGAGGGUGAUCGGCCACACUGGAACUGAGACACGGUCCAGACUCCUACGGGAGGCAGCAGUAGGGAAUCUGCCGCAAUGGGCGAAAGCCUGACGGAGCAACGCCGCGUGAGUGAUGAAGGUCUUCGGAUCGUAAAACUCUGUUAUUAGGGAAGAACAUAUGUGUAAGUAACUGUGCACAUCUUGACGGUACCUAAUCAGAAAGCCACGGCUAACUACGUG
RNAcentral lists this ribosomal RNA (497 nucleotides) under uncultured bacterium. RNAcentral's name for it is "partial 16S ribosomal RNA". It matches the Rfam family "Bacterial small subunit ribosomal RNA", at positions 28 to 507 of the family's 1533-position model. The record is from RNAcentral.